CCUACGGGAGGCAGCAGUGGGGAAUAUUGCGCAAUGGGCGAAAGCCUGACGCAGCGACGCCGCGUGAGGGAUGACGGCCUUCGGGUUGUAAACCUCUUUCAGCUCCGACGAAGCCUUCGGGUGACGGUAGGGGCAGAAGAAGCACCGGCCAACUACGUGCCAGCAGCCGCGGUAAUACGUAGGGUGCAAGCGUUGUCCGGAAUUAUUGGGCGUAAAGAGCUCGUAGGCGGUUUGUCGCGUCGGCUGUGAAAACUCGGGGCUCAACUCCGAGCUUGCAGCCGAUACGGGCAGACUAGAGUUCGGCAGGGGAGACUGGAAUUCCUGGUGUAGCGGUGAAACGCGCAGAUAUCAGGAGGAACACCGGUGGCGAAGGCGGGUCUCUGGGCCGAUACUGACGCUGAGGAGCGAAAGCGUGGGGAGCGAACAGGAUUAGAUACCCUGGUAGUCCACGCCGUAAACGUUGGGCGCUAGGUGUGGGAUCCCUUCCACGGGUUCCGUGCCGCAGCUAACGCAUUAAGCGCCCCGCCUGGGGAGUACGGCCGCAAGGCUAAAACUCAAAUGAAUUGACGGGG
Molecule: ribosomal RNA, 572 nt
Filed under: uncultured Pseudonocardia sp.
Lineage: Bacteria; Bacillati; Actinomycetota; Actinomycetes; Pseudonocardiales; Pseudonocardiaceae
Description: bacterial SSU rRNA
Rfam family: Bacterial small subunit ribosomal RNA
Source: RNAcentral